UCAAUAAGCGGAGGAAAAGAAACCAACAGGGAUUGCCCCAGUAACGGCGAGUGAAGCGGCAACAGCUCAAAUUUGAAAUCUGGCCCUCGGGUCCGAGUUGUAAUUUGUAGAGGAUGCUUUUGGCGAGGUGCCUUCCGAGUUCCCUGGAACGGGACGCCAUAGAGGGUGAGAGCCCCGUCUGGUCGGACACCGAGCCUCUGUAAAGCUCCUUCGACGAGUCGAGUAGUUUGGGAAUGCUGCUCAAAAUGGGAGGUAUAUGUCUUCUAAAGCUAAAUAUUGGCCAGAGACCGAUAGCGCACAAGUAGAGUGAUCGAAAGAUGAAAAGCACUUUGAAAAGAGGGUUAAAAAGUACGUGAAAUUGUUGAAAGGGAAGCGCCUAUGACCAGACUUGAGCCCGGUGAAUCAUCCAGCGUUCUCGCUGGUGCACUUUGCCGGGCCCAGGCCAGCAUCAGUUUGGCGCGGGGGAUAAAGGUGACGGGAAUGUGGCUCCCUCGGGAGUGUUAUAGCCCGCUACGUAAUACCCUGCGCCGGACUGAGGUACGCGCAUUGCAAGGAUGCUGGCGUAAUGGUCAUCAGCGACCCGUCUUGAAACACGGACCAAGGAGUCGUCUUCGUAUGCGAGUGUUCGGGUGUCAAACCCCUACGCGUAAUGAAAGUGAACGCAGGUGAGAGCUUCGGCGCAUCAUCGACCGAUCCUGAUGUUCUCGGAUGGAUUUGAGUAAGAGCAUACGGGGCCGGACCCGAAAGAAGGUGAACUAUGCCUGUAUAGGGUGAAGCCAGAGGAAACUCUGGUGGAGGCUCGCAGCGGUUCUGACGUGCGAAUCGAUCGUCAAAUAUGGGCAUGGGGGCGAAAGACUAAUCGAACCUUCUAGUAGCUGGUUUCCG
This 885-nucleotide ribosomal RNA is filed under the name Cordyceps javanica. Its description in RNAcentral is "partial large subunit ribosomal RNA". It matches the Rfam family "Eukaryotic large subunit ribosomal RNA", at positions 43 to 960 of the family's 3401-position model. Lineage: Eukaryota; Fungi; Ascomycota; Sordariomycetes; Hypocreales; Cordycipitaceae. The record is from RNAcentral.